Molecule: ribosomal RNA, 454 nt
Filed under: uncultured bacterium
Lineage: Bacteria
Description: partial 16S ribosomal RNA
Rfam family: Bacterial small subunit ribosomal RNA
Source: RNAcentral
GAUGAACGCUGACAGAAUGCUUAACACAUGCAAGUCCACUUGAACUUCGGUUUGGGUGGCGGACGGGUGAGUAACGCGUAGAGAACUUGCCUCACAGAUAGGGACAACAUUUGGAAACGAAUGCUAAUACCUGAUAUUAUGAUUAUAUGGCAUCGUAUAAUUAUGAAAGCUAUAUGCGCUGUGAGAGAGCUUUGCGUCCCAUUAGCUAGUUGGAGAGGUAACGGCUCACCAAGGCGAUGAUGGGUAGCCGGCCUGAGAGGGUGAUCGGCCACAAGGGGACUGAGACACGGCCCUUACUCCUACGGGAGGCAGCAGUGGGGAAUAUUGGACAAUGGACCAAGAGUCUGAUCCAGCAAUUCUGUGUGCACGAUGAAGUUUUUCGGAAUGUAAAGUGCUUUCAGUUGGGAAGAAAAAAAUGACGGUACCAACAGAAGAAGUGACGGCUAAAUACGUG